CUGUGCCUAUGAUGGGCUUAAAUAUACUAUGAGUUACUACUAUGAAAAGAACUUAAUCUGAGGCCACUU
Molecule: small nucleolar RNA, 69 nt
Filed under: Nelumbo nucifera (sacred lotus)
Lineage: Eukaryota; Viridiplantae; Streptophyta; Magnoliopsida; Proteales; Nelumbonaceae
Source: RNAcentral